RNAcentral lists this ribosomal RNA (274 nucleotides) under uncultured bacterium. RNAcentral describes it as "partial 16S ribosomal RNA". It matches the Rfam family "Bacterial small subunit ribosomal RNA", at positions 523 to 796 of the family's 1533-position model. The record is from RNAcentral.
AUACGGAGGGAGCAAGCGUUAUUCGGAAUCACUGGGCGUAAAGGACGCGUAGGCGGGUUUGUAAGUCAGGUGUGAAAUCCUACAGCUCAACUGUAGAACUGCACUUGAAACUACAGACCUAGAGUAUGGAAGGGGCAGAUGGAAUUAGUGGUGUAGGGGUAAAAUCCGUAGAUAUCACUAGGAAUACCGAAAGCGGAGGCGAUCUGCUGGGACAUUACUGACGCUGAGGCGUGAAAGCGUGGGGAGCAAACAGGAUUAGAAACCCCAGUAGUCC